RNAcentral lists this long non-coding RNA (3069 nucleotides) under Callithrix jacchus (white-tufted-ear marmoset). Its description in RNAcentral is "lncRNA (ENSCJAG00000075966.1)". The record is from RNAcentral. Lineage: Eukaryota; Metazoa; Chordata; Mammalia; Primates; Cebidae.
AUGCACGGAAGCGGCCCUCCCCACUGCCAGCCUGGCGCGAUCCCCAGGGGCGGGAGGAGGCGGCCGCCGGCGUUCCUCGGGGCGGCGGGGCACACACAGUUAAUCCUCCGCGGCUGCUGUUUGGGCGGAAAGCGCUGGGAGUGUUGGCGGCUCCUCGCGGCUCACAUCUGGCUGGGCUUCGCUCCGUGCGCGUCUUCCCACUUUCUGCGUCUCUUCCUUUACUUUCGAGAAACCGUGCUUCCGCUUCUGGUCACAGGGACCUCGGAGCCUGGGUGGCGGACCAGAGGUGCUGGGGGGACCCGCGGCUGCUCGCACCGCCCCCACCCUCAUUCUGUGCACCGUCGGCCUCGAGGACUGGUCUCCCCGCUCUGUCUCCUUCGGCGGGUCUGCGCGUCUCCCCGAACCCGGUGGGGAGGAGGCUCGGCCUCCGGGAGAUGCUCUAAGGGCGGCGCGGGAGGAGCGGCCGGCGGGACGGAGGAAUUCAACUGCAGUGGCGCAUUUGAAGAUGCUAGCAGGCUGGCACCAGGGAGAUCGUAGCACAUUGCAUCAGGGAAGAUGGUUGCAGGUUUCCCUGGUGCCCCGUGCCAUACCUGGCAUGGGGUGGGCUCUCAGUAAUCCUCUGUCGAAUGAUGAAUGCAAGGGCUCAGCUGCUGGAGACAACCCUCAAAGUCAAAGGCUGCUGCAGCUGUUCCAGCCACAGGCAAGUAAGCAAAUUGGUGGGCACCCUAGCCCUGAGCGGGUGGGAACAGGCGCUGGCCCAUGACUUGGGAGGAGGAGGAGCCUAUGCUCUCUGGCAUUUUUCUGGCCACCCCUCAGGGUGAAGUGUAAUGUACUUUGCUGUCGGCUAUACCUAGGUCUAAUCUGAGCUCCAGCACCUCCCCACUGUGGAACCUGGGGCAGGCGGCUUCAUUGCUCUGAGCCCAUUUUCGCAUUCUAAGGAUCAGGCUCAGUGGUGAACUGAAGGCACCAUGGCCAGAGCCUGGCUCUCGGUGCCUUUUCAGGGGUAGUGGGGCUUUGUCAGAAGGAAUCGCUGAUAAACACUGGGCUACUCCUGGUCCAGGAACAGGCUGGUCAUUGCACAUCAUGCAGGGGAUGGGCUGCAGGACUGGGCUCCAUUUCCUUCUGUUCCCCGGCUGCAGGCCACGGGCCCUACACAGGCAGCCUCCUUCAGCAGCAGCGGCCAAAGACCAACAAAGCCCCCUGCUGCUGGGAAAGCGUUCUCUCUGGCUCGCCUAAUUCCAGUGCCACCCUGCUGUGCUCCCUAUGACCCGUGCCCUUCCUGGCCCUAACACCAUAGCUGCCAGGGACUCUACUGCCUAGGGGAAGGGACAUCUUCUUGUUCCAUUCAGCACGAAAUCCAGCUCCCUGCUGGGUACGUAGUAGACACUCAGUAAACAUCUGUUGAACGAAUGAGCGAAAGAGCGUGAGACUUCAGCACUAGGCCGAUCUGUAUUCCUCGUGGCUCCGCUUGAGCCUCUAACGACGCAGCAUCAGCAAACCCUCUUUUCUCCCCAACCCACUUUCCUAUGCAUCCAGUUGAGUUUCCUGGAAUCAACAAAGUGCUCCCUUAGUCCCCAGGGUGGGGCUUAUUUGUCAUUUUUCUAAGUGGAAAAUAAUGUGUAUUUACUGUGAAAAAGGAUGCGACUAUUACAGGGGAAAGAAACAGAGAGGCCGAAAGAAAAAACGGUAACAGCAUCUGUAUUCUCAUCAGCGCGGAUCAUCGCUGUUGGCGGCCUGGUGGGUGGCCUUCGGGUCUUUGUGGUUGUGCGUGCGCGUGUGCACGUGUGUUUGGGUCUGCAUGUUUUCAAUCUGCAUUUUCACUCGUUACUGCUUUAUAAACUUUCUUUUCUUUUUCUUUCUCUCUCUCUCUCUUUCCCUCCCUCCUUUCCUUCCUCUCUCUCUCUCUUUCUUUUUUGAGACAGUCUCGCUCUAUCACCCAGGCUGGAGUGCUACGGCGCCAUCUCUGCUCACUGCAAUCUCCACCUCCUGAGUUCAAGCAAUUCUUCUGCUUCAGCCUUCUGAGUAGGUGGGAUUACAGGUGCAUCCCACCACACCACAUACUAAUUUUUGUAUUUUUUAGUAGAGACAGGGUUUUACCACGUUGGCCAGGCUGGUCUUGAACUCCUGACCUCAAGUGAUCUGCCUGUCUUGGCCUUCGAAAGUGCUGGGAUUACAGGCGUGAGCCACCGCACCCGGCCCAAACAUCUUUCCAUGUCAGUAAAUAUUCACCUAUUUAUAGAGACUCCCAACUGGUGCUGCUGGCUGAUUCUGUGCCCCCAGUCCCUCCAUAUUCUUUCCUUCUUUCAACGUCUUUAGAAAAAACACGUUUCCUGGUCUGCCACAGUCCCCACCCCGCCGAUUGUGGAGUUCGCCACUCUAAUCAACCACCUCGUUUCUCUAGUUUCCAUCAUGUGGAUGCACUGUAAUUGUUUUUUUUUUUUUUUUUUUUUUUUUUGAGAUGGAGUUUUACUCUGCCACCCAGGCUGAAGUGCAGUGGUGCUAUUUCAGUUCACUGGAACCUUGCCUCCCAGGUUCAAGCAAUUCUCCUGCCUCAGCCUCUGGAGUAGCUGGGAUUACAGGCACGUGCCAGCACGCCUUGGCAAUUUUUGUAUUUUUAGUAAAGACAAGGUUUCACCAUGUUGGCCAGGCUGGUCUCAAACGCCUGACCUCAGGUGAUCUGCCCACCUCAGCCUCCCAUGCUGGGAUUACAGGUGUGAGUCCCCGAGCCCAGCCAUGUAUUUCAGACUGUCUUCCUGAACAUCAGUGUUUCUUAACCUUGGUGAAUGGAGGCUGUGGCUUUGUCUCUUUGAAGGAGUAGCCUUCUGAGUUCAGAUAAGAGGAGGAUUUCUGGGGAAGACGGCCACAUGGCCGCAUCAGGAGUCAGCGUUCUGGUGACAGUGACGUACCUUGGAUCCCUGCAUCCCCACCCAGAGUUAGAGAGAGAUUUGGACAGGUCUGUGGCUGGGGCAUGUCGUCUUUGGAUGAUGGCUCUGUACUUGGGAUUGGUUGGAGGUGAGUGGAGCAUUCGAGCCCUGCUGAGAAUUAGACAUCAGAUGCUGGUGAUUCCUG